AUCUAAUUGGCAGAAUAAGUGCAUUAAGUUUAAGUCUUAAAUAUAAUUAUAUAUAUAUAUAUC
RNAcentral lists this transfer RNA (63 nucleotides) under Lycosa sp. Its description in RNAcentral is "tRNA-Leu". Lineage: Eukaryota; Metazoa; Arthropoda; Arachnida; Araneae; Lycosidae. The record is from RNAcentral.